This 415-nucleotide ribosomal RNA is filed under the name uncultured bacterium. RNAcentral describes it as "bacterial SSU rRNA". It matches the Rfam family "Bacterial small subunit ribosomal RNA", at positions 358 to 770 of the family's 1533-position model. The record is from RNAcentral.
GGAAUAUUGGACAAUGGAGGAGACUCUGAUCCAGCCAUGCCGCGUGCAGGAAGAAUGCCCUAUGGGUAGUAAACUGCUUUUAUACGGGAAGAAAAAGGGGCACGUGUGCCCUGUUGACGGUACCGUAAGAAUAAGGACCGGCUAACCCCGUGCCAGCAGCCGCGGUAAUACGGAGGGUCCGAGCGUUAUCCGGAAUUAUUGGGUUUAAAGGGUCCGUAGGCGGGCCGGUAAGUCAGGGGUGAAAGUCUGUAGCUCAACUAUAGAAUUGCCUUUGAUACUGCUGGUCUUGAGUUAUGGUGAAGUUGCCGGAAUAUGUAGUGUAGCGGUGAAAUGCAUAGAUAUUACACAGAAUACCGAUUGCGAAGGCAGAUCACUAACAAUAUAUUGACGCUGAUGGACGAAAGCGUGGGGAGCG